UGUCAAUGGUAACUUGGAAAU
RNAcentral lists this non-coding RNA (21 nucleotides) under Caenorhabditis elegans. The record is from RNAcentral. Lineage: Eukaryota; Metazoa; Nematoda; Chromadorea; Rhabditida; Rhabditidae.